AACGAACGUUAGCGGCGCGCUUAACACAUGCAAGUCGUGCGAGAAAGGGCUUCGGCCCCGGUAAAGCGGCGCACGGGUGAGUAACACGUAGGUAACCUACCCUCAGGUGGUGGAUAACAUCCCGAAAGGGGUGCUAAUACAGCAUGAGACCACGCCCCCGUAAGGGGAUGAGGUCAAAGCCGGCCUCUUCAUGAAAGCUGGCGCCAGAGGAAGGGCCUGCGGCCCAUCAGCUAGUUGGUAGGGUAAUGGCUUACCAAGGCUAAGACGGGUAGCUGGUCUGAGAGGAUGAUCAGCCACACUGGAACUGAGACACGGUCCAG
RNAcentral lists this ribosomal RNA (320 nucleotides) under uncultured bacterium. Its description in RNAcentral is "bacterial SSU rRNA". It matches the Rfam family "Bacterial small subunit ribosomal RNA", at positions 29 to 334 of the family's 1533-position model. The record is from RNAcentral.